UACGGAGGGUGCUAGCGUUGUUCGGAAUCACUGGGCGUAAAGCGCGUGUAGGCGGCCUGCGAAGUCUGAUGUGAAAGCCCGGGGCUCACCCCCGGAAGUGCAUUGGAAACUGGCAGGCUCGAGUCCCGGAGAGGAGGGUGGAAUUCCUGGUGUAGCGGUGAAAUGCGUAGAUAUCAGGAGGAACACCGGUGGCGAAGGCGGCCCUCUGGACGGUGACUGACGCUGAGACGCGAAAGCGUGGGGAGCAAACAGG
RNAcentral lists this ribosomal RNA (253 nucleotides) under uncultured bacterium. RNAcentral's name for it is "partial 16S ribosomal RNA". It matches the Rfam family "Bacterial small subunit ribosomal RNA", at positions 524 to 776 of the family's 1533-position model. RNAcentral also lists the same sequence under 1 other name. The record is from RNAcentral.